UACGGAGGGUGCAAGCGUUAAUCGGAAUUACUGGGCGUAAAGCGCGCGUAGGCGGUUUUGUAAGUCGGAUGUGAAAGCCCCGGGCUUAACCUGGGAACUGCGUUUGAAACUGGGAGACUUGAGUGUGGCAGAGGGGGGUGGAAUUCCUGGUGUAGCAGUGAAAUGCGUAGAUAUCAGGAGGAAUACCGAUGGCGAAGGCGGGAUCCUGGGCCAGUACUGACGCUGAGGAGCGAAAGCGUGGGGAGCAAACAGG
RNAcentral lists this ribosomal RNA (253 nucleotides) under uncultured bacterium. Its description in RNAcentral is "partial 16S ribosomal RNA". It matches the Rfam family "Bacterial small subunit ribosomal RNA", at positions 524 to 776 of the family's 1533-position model. The record is from RNAcentral.